RNAcentral lists this small RNA (36 nucleotides) under Arabidopsis thaliana (thale cress). Its description in RNAcentral is "ATSL278210". The record is from RNAcentral. Lineage: Eukaryota; Viridiplantae; Streptophyta; Magnoliopsida; Brassicales; Brassicaceae.
CAUUUCUCUUCUCCAUGUCCACUUCCGCCUAAAGAU